This 134-nucleotide non-coding RNA is filed under the name Paramoeba aestuarina. Lineage: Eukaryota; Discosea; Flabellinia; Dactylopodida; Paramoebidae. The record is from RNAcentral.
UGAAUGAGAAGAAAAAAGAAUGAAAAGAAUGGAGAUGAUGAGAGAAAAUUCCUCACAAUUUUCCUUGUCAUCGUGAUUUUUCUUUUGGUUGCUGUGAUUGUCUUUUUAUUCCUUUAUGUUUCUUCUUUUAUGGG